This is a non-coding RNA of Neolamprologus brichardi, 764 nucleotides long. NCBI's taxonomy places the organism in Eukaryota, Metazoa, Chordata, Actinopteri, Cichliformes, Cichlidae. The record is from RefSeq and is a predicted model, not a curated record.
CGGCCCCUUCCUCCACCUCCUCCGUCCUCAUACUACGCCCGAGAUCGAAGUCCGCUUAGGAGACCGCCUACCACACCAGUGCCCCCUGCCAGUAACGGCUACUCCUAUGAUCGCUCUGCAUACGGAGUUCCACGUGCAAGGGACCCCUACGCAGAUCGGCUGCCUCCGCCACCGCCUGCACGCUACGCUUAUUAAGCAAGGGCGGCGCAUUUUGAAGGAUUGUCGUCCGACUGCGUCGCCGCUCGGCGCCUCCUGAUGCACGUGACUCUAUCCUCUCCCUGUCAGUGGCUGAGCGCGUAACGUUCCCCUGCGAUGCUGACAGGAGGAACCGAAUAGCCGACGUCCACGUCUCUUUCUGUUUUUAUUACUUUGAGGCAAUUUUUACACUCGUAUUUUUCCUCCUGGUUGUUUUAAUAUGUAAUUGUGCUGUAGUACUUUUACUGCUUGCCGUCUGGAGUAGGUGUUUAUUUUUUAUUUUAUUUUUUUUGUACUUUUUUCGUUUGAGUAAUACUGAUGUUGUUUGUGACCUUAGAGAAGCUGAAUGAGUUCAGCAACAGUUUCUAGGCGAUACUUGUGACUGUAGAUUUAACUGAACUUAACUUUGUUUGGUAUAAAAUCUAAUCUGCACGUUGACUCCAUCAUGUAAAACUUUUACACCGCACAACAAACCGCUGUGAAAAACUUAAACUGCUCAAAUGUAGGAGUUCGAUGCAUGCAGGAAGUAACUGUUAACUUACAGAAAAUAAAUGUCAGUCGGAAGUCUC